This is a non-coding RNA of Punica granatum (pomegranate), 4250 nucleotides long. The record is from RefSeq and is a predicted model, not a curated record. Lineage: Eukaryota; Viridiplantae; Streptophyta; Magnoliopsida; Myrtales; Lythraceae.
AAAAGUCCAAAAACCACUGGGAGAACUGGGAGAAGAAGAAAGGAGAGAGAGAGAGAGAGAGAGAGAGAGAGAGAGAGCAAUAUCCCAUCAAUUUCAUUGUGGAAGUCUCAUCGUCACUUUCACGCGGACAAAGAUCAUCAUCAUCCUUCUUCUUCCAUUCCAAAAGGAUUUCCUUUCCUCAAGACCCAGAAACGAGAAAUUCCUCCUCUUACCCCCUCUUCUACACUUCUCUUGAAUCCUCAAAGGCCCUAACACCCUUAAUAGACCCCCUCCCCUUCUCCCUCUCUCUCUCUCUCUCUCUCUCUACCCUGUGUACAAUUGUCAGCUCAUUUGAUAAGAAACAGAGAAACUGAGAGAAAGGUGCAGUGCAGGAUUGUGAAGUUUGAGUGGUGAAGAAGAACCAGAAGUCCAGAGCAGAGCUCUCUUGGCUCACUGCAGUGUUUCAUGAUGGGGAAUGAGUGCUCUCUUCCAUGAAGCUUCACAUCUCCGUCGGCCCACAAAAAUAUCUCAAAAAUCCAUUUUGUCCUCUUUCCACUUCUUCUCUGCCUCCUACUAUUUGCCACUUCACACCUCCCAAAAGGCUAACAAGCAGCAGCAGCAUCAUCAAACCCCCUCGAUUCGAGGUUUCCCGUCACUUUCUCAAGAAUCUGUCCUUUCGGGGCCAAUCAGGCGCAGACCCGAUUCUACUAAUGCCCUUUUGAAGACAAAUCUCCGGCCAAAAUCAAACCUUUGGUGCUUUUGAGGUGGCGGGGUCUCACAGGAUGUUGAGUGGAGCUUCAAAUUCCCAAACUUGAGGCCUUUUCUCCCCGUCAAGACUUACCCCAGGAUUUGGAGCUUUUUGGCCGGUCGAUCGGAGAAGUUAUGCAGGACCCUUCGGCAUUCCUUCAGCCGGUGAAGCCGCAGUUCCCGGAGCAGGAGAGGCUCAAGUGCCCGAGAUGUGAGUCCACCAACACCAAGUUCUGCUACUACAACAACUAUAACCUCUCCCAACCCCGCCACUUCUGCAAGAACUGCCGCCGCUACUGGACCAAGGGCGGCGCCCUUCGCAACAUCCCGGUCGGCGGCGGCACCCGCAAGAGCGCGAAGCGCCCCACGAACGCGAAGCGCCCCAGCCCCGGUCCUGUGGAGACGGAGCCGAGACCCGAAGGCUCGUCUCAGGCCCGGAGCCCCAGGUUGAUCGAGCCCUCCCACGGUCUCUCUCAGCCGGCCGUGCCCCAACAGUCUGCCCAGGGCCCCUCUCCGGGUCCCAGUCCGGCCCGGAUAGUCCAUCCCGGCUCUGGGAUCCUCGGCCUGGGCACUGACCCCGAAAGGAGGCUGCUCGACACGGGUGGGAGCUUCAGCUCACUUCUGACCUCGAAUUUGCAGUUCGGGACUCUCCUCGAGGGUCUGAACCCGAACAGCUCGGGUCCGAAGGUGAUGCAAUUCGGCGUCCUCGGGGAGAACUUGAAUUCCGGCACCAGCUUGAAUCCGAGUAGAGGUCCUAACGGGGUGCAGGGGCAGAAAUCACAGAGCAAUAAUAUGCCGGACAGUGAUUGCUUGAGCUUGCAGAAUGGUAAUGGUAACGGCAAUGGAAAUGGAGGCAAUGGAGGUGAGGAAUCCAGCUGUUGGGGGAAUAGCAAUGGGUGGCCUGAUCUUGCUAUUUACACUCCCAGUUCAAGAUAUCAAUAGACCAACAGCAACAAGUGAUUAGCGUAUCCUUUUUCUUCUUCUUUCUUUUUUUCUUUUUUUUUUCAAUUGUUAUUUGAAUUUUUCCACUUUGGGGUUUUCCACUUCUUGCACUGAAUGAAGGCUGAAGAAGUUUGGGGAACAGAAACGAGGAUUUUGGAGCCUGAGUGUGGUGUUAUCUGAUGCUGCUCAAGGUACAUAGCACACACCCUGAAGGCCAAAACAUUACUAAUAUAGAGCCUCAGCUGCAAAAUUUUCAGUCCAAGACAGAAGAUUUGGGGUUUUGUUUUCUUGCUAUCACCAAGGAGGCAGGCCCCCACCACCCCCCAACCCCAAAGAUCUUUAAAGUCAAAUUGGCAGGGUUAAGUAGCUGUCAUGGUCAAAUUGAUGAAGAAGCUCCCUGGGGGGUUCUUGGGCCGGAGAUUUGGAUCCCUCCCAACAUGCCUCCAGGCACCUUUGGGUUCAUCACGAUUUAAAAGCAAUACCCAAUUAGAUUCAUGAUCAAAUCUUGUAAACGGAAAGGGAAAAAGAAGAAAAGAAAAGACUUAUUUUUCUUCUUAAGAAACUUUCUAUGUUUGGUAAUAAAGUUUAAGGGUUGUUUGGAAAUGGAAUUGAGUAAAACUCAACUUCAUUCCAAUUAUAUAUAUAUAUAUAUAUUGUUAAUUGGAUUAUAAUAACAACGUGGAUGAAGAAAAUAAUAAAAAAAAGUAAUGAUUGUGUUAUGGGAAAAGUGAGGAAAAGUAAUGAAAGGUAAUGAAUAAUUGAGAGAAUUUAGUAUUAAAAAUUGAAUUGAAUGGUAAAAAUAAAAAAUUUUAAAAAAAUAUAAAAGUAUUAAUUAUGUUAUUAAAUUGAAGAUAAGUGAAGUUAAGUGGGGAGAGUAAAUGGAGUUGAACUCCAAAAUCAAACAAAGUAUUAUUUUAUUUAAUUUCAUUUUUUUCUCAAUUCAAUAAUGCAAUCAAUACUUUUUUUUCAAAUUCUUUUUCAUAAUUUUUUAUAUAUUAUUUAAAAUAGGUUUUAAACUAAAUUAUCUCACUAUUUUAUAUUUUUUUUAAAUUCAACAACGCAAUUAUUUUUAUUUUUAUUUGCUUAUUCAAAUUCUCCAACAUAUUUUUUUCAACUACUUUUAUUUUUAUUUUCUUAAAUCAAAUUUAACUUCGUUAUCAAAAGUUAUAUAUUUCGUUACCAAACAUUAUGUUAAAAAGAGUGUUAGCUGAUUGUGGAACUUGUGUAUGGACAAAUAUCAAAUGUUCCGGGACAGUUAAACGUGUAAGUAUCUAGCGUCUCCAUAAUAACUAUCAUCUAGCGUCUCCGUAGAUACACAACAUUGAGUAUUAAAAAUCGUUUUAGAGAUUUAUGAAUCAUCUACGACCUCUAGUUAGUAAUUCCAGUUCAACGGGCUCCGCAAUGUGUUUGUCGAUUGUGAGCCCUGAAUUUCGUUGAGAUUAUUUUUAUCUAUCCUAGUAUCAGUCUAGCUUUUACGUGGAGGAAUGGAAAUGAAUCAAGACAUAUUAUCGAGAUGCAGAAAAGAGUAGCACACAACUUCUUCGUAGAAUAAUACGCGGAUAGAACAUUUAAUUUGUGAUUCCGUAUAAAAUGGAAACUAAAUGAUGUGCUCCGUGAAUUUGAAGGGCAAUGGGUUAUUGCCAAAUUUUGGCAGAAGUCACAGGGGACUGUUGACAUAUACCCUCGCACAGUUCAAGGUUCGGCAUUGCUCCUCUUUCAAAGCUAUUGAAACCUUCCUUUUUGACUAUUGACUUCGAAUAUGAAGGUACUCGAUGUGAAAGGAUAGUAGAUUCAUCACAGUGCAAAAAAAUCAUAGUGUGUAUACCUCAUCAUUCGUGUUUGGAUAUAGAGCGAUUUGCAGGGAAAAGAAACUGCGACUUUACUUCCUCCUCUUAAUUAAUGCCAACGUAGUCUCAAUCUGAUCAGUAAUAGUGUGGGUAGAGAAAUGGGAUACCACUGAGGAGGGUUUGGGACGGGUCCCUCCUAUACUCGUACUUAUUUAUAAAGUCGAUCUUAAUCCUUUCUCAUAUCUAUUGUUAUUUCACGAAAAAAAUUUCAAAUUCUUCCCGUCAAUUUAACAGGUAUUCAAUGGGAAUUCUUUUUUUCUUUUUUUUGCCUAUUAAUAAAAUUUGUGGGGGAGAAAAAAUUCUACGAGUUUGUCAUAAUAUCUUAUUUAUAUGAAAUGGCUUGAGGGCCACCAACGACAAGGUGGGAUGAUGUGUUUCGGAUUGCUGUCCGACACAUUUUCGAAUUUUCGGGUCCACACACACAUUCUAGAAGACUCAGGAAUCAGAAUUUAGCUUAAUUAGAUAUUAAGUUUCCUAUAUUGGUAUAAUAUAAUUUCUCUUAAUUAUAUAUAAUUUCAUAUAUUAGCUUGAGUCAGUAGUCUUAAGUUUCUUAUUUUAGAUUAUUACCUUACUCUAUUUUAGGAAAGUAAUUUAGAGGAGAUUAGAUAACAGUUUCCUAUUUUAGAGUCAAGAGGGGUGUCUAGCCUCUAUAUAUUUUUGAAUGAAUAUUGUAAGAGAAGAUAACAAACUGUGAAUGAAUAUUUUUGAAUGAAAUUGCUUAGAGUGUUUUUUCUA